Molecule: ribosomal RNA, 207 nt
Filed under: uncultured bacterium
Lineage: Bacteria
Description: partial 16S ribosomal RNA
Rfam family: Bacterial small subunit ribosomal RNA
Source: RNAcentral
CGCGUAGGCGGUUCAGUAAGUCGGGUGUGAAAUCCCUGGGCUCAACCUAGGAAUUGCACUCGAUACUGCUGGGCUAGAGUAUGGUAGAGGGAAGCAGAAUUCCCGGUGUAGCGGUGAAAUGCGUAGAUAUCGGGAGGAAUACCAGUGGCGAAGGCGGCUUCCUGGACCAAUACUGACGCUGAGGUGCGAAAGCGUGGGGAGCAAACA